RNAcentral lists this ribosomal RNA (443 nucleotides) under uncultured bacterium. Its description in RNAcentral is "partial 16S ribosomal RNA". It matches the Rfam family "Bacterial small subunit ribosomal RNA", at positions 338 to 795 of the family's 1533-position model. The record is from RNAcentral.
CCUACGGGAGGCAGCAGUGGGGGAUAUUGGACAAUGGGGGAAACCCUGAUCCAGUGACGCCGCGUGAGUGAAGAAGUAUUUCGGUAUGUAAAGCUCUGUCAGCAGGGAAGAAAGAAAUGACGGUACCUUACCAAGAAGCCCCGGCUAACUACGUGCCAGCAGCCGCGGUAAUACGUAGGGGGCAAGCGGUAUCCGGAAUUACUGGGUGUAAAGGGAGCGUAGACGGUGAUGCAAGUCGGGAGUGAAAGGGGGGGGCCCAACCCCCGGACUGCUCUGGAAACUGUGUAACUUGAGUGCAGGAGAGGUAAGCGGAAUUCCUAGGGUAGCGGUGAAAUGCGUAGAUAUUAGGAGGAACACCAGUGGCGAAGGCGGCUUACUGGACUGUAACUGACGUUGAGGCUCGAAAGCGUGGGGAGCAAACAGGAUUAGAUACCCGUGUAGUC